GACGAACGCUGGCGGCGUGCUUAACACAUGCAAGUCGAACGAUGAAGCCGGAGCUUGCUCUGGUGAAUUAGUGGCGAACGGGUGAGUAACACGUGAGUAACCUGCCCUUGACUCUGGAAUAACUGCUAGAAAUGGUAGCUAAUACCGGAUACGACCCUCGGCGGCAUCGCCAGGGGGUGGAAAGAAUUUCGGUCAAGGAUGGACUCGCGGCCUAUCAGCUAGUUGGGGGGGUAACGGCUCACCAAGGCGACGACGGGUAGCCGGCCUGAGAGGGUGACCGGCGACACUGGGACUGAGACACGGCCCAGACUCCUACGGGAGGCAGCAGUGGGGAAUAUUGCACAAUGGGCGCAAGCCUGAUGCAGCAACGCCGCGUGAGGGAUGACGGCCUUCGGGUUGUAAACCUCUUUUAGUAGGGAAGAAGCGAAAGUGACGGUACCUGCAGAAAAAGCACCGGCUAACUACGUGCCAGCCGCCGCGGUAA
RNAcentral lists this ribosomal RNA (484 nucleotides) under uncultured bacterium. RNAcentral describes it as "partial 16S ribosomal RNA". It matches the Rfam family "Bacterial small subunit ribosomal RNA", at positions 28 to 523 of the family's 1533-position model. The record is from RNAcentral.